RNAcentral lists this long non-coding RNA (206 nucleotides) under Elaeis guineensis (African oil palm). RNAcentral describes it as "long non-coding RNA (EGUI_LNC065776)". Lineage: Eukaryota; Viridiplantae; Streptophyta; Magnoliopsida; Arecales; Arecaceae. The record is from RNAcentral.
UUAAUAAGAAAGGAAGGCACCUCCUACCCAUACACAGUCUCCCCCUUGAUGGGAGGCUAUAGUGAUAAUAAAGAAGGAGGACAUCAUUAGUCCCAUAUUGAUUAAGUCAAGAAGACUCUGGCUUAUAUAGGAAAUGACCAUCCUUCCUAUGUGAGGCAUCUUUUCGACUAGAAUCUAGAGGGACAAAACUAUGACAUGCAUGGGUC